Molecule: microRNA precursor, 95 nt
Filed under: Dinoponera quadriceps
Lineage: Eukaryota; Metazoa; Arthropoda; Insecta; Hymenoptera; Formicidae
Description: microRNA dqu-mir-79 precursor
Gene: dqu-mir-79
Rfam family: mir-9/mir-79 microRNA precursor family (bases 14-74)
About the family: The mature ~21nt miRNAs are processed from hairpin precursor sequences represented here. miR-9 is processed from the 5' arm of its precursor, and miR-79 from the 3' arm. The bounds of the precursors are predicted based on conservation and base pairing and are not generally known.
Source: miRBase by way of RNAcentral
AAGCUUUUGCCUCUUCUUUGGUAAUACAGCUCUAUGAGUUUAGUCGAGCGUCAUAAAGCUAGAUUACCAAAGCAGAACGCAUUGGCGUGUACUUC